Long non-coding RNA from Sinocyclocheilus rhinocerous, 592 nucleotides. RefSeq lists it as uncharacterized. The record is from RefSeq and is a predicted model, not a curated record. NCBI's taxonomy places the organism in Eukaryota, Metazoa, Chordata, Actinopteri, Cypriniformes, Cyprinidae. The transcript is spliced from 2 exons.
AGACUAGAGCUGCAACAACUAAUCCAUAAAAAAAAUAAUCCACAACGAAUGUGAUUAUCGAUUAGUCGUGUCUGCUCACCGCGCACGGAAAACUUCCGCCAGUCACGUCACAUUACAACAGCGUUCUACUGACUAAAUGCAUCUAAAAAUAGCGGAUGAAACGGAGUGCGCUGUUUAAUGUGUGAGAAAUGGUUCCUUCCUUCUGUAAACGUUACAUAUUCAGCUGAAAUGUUUCCUUUCUUCUGUAAACGUUACAUAUUCGGCUGAAAUGGUUCCUUCCUUCUGUAAACGUUACAUAUUCAGCUGAAAUGUUUGAUUUUAGGUUUAAAAGUCAACAUGUAAUUCAAGUAUCUUAUGAUAGUAACUGUAAAGGGAUAACAACAGAGUGUGACUGAAUAUAAAAAGCAAUGACAGGAACAGAGUGAACGUGUGUGUUCCUGCAGAACAUUAUUCGCAUCUGUUAACACAGAGUUGAGUUAAACUGUCCUUUGUCCAUUUGUCCGUUUAAACUCUGCUUUAUAGCUCUUUUACACUUGGCACGUUUGUUUGAAGGACAGCAUUGGGCAGGAUGUGGAACAGUGUGUUUUGUCAA